GGUCCCGUAGCUCAGCUGGAUAGAGCAGCAGCCUUCUAAGCUGUUGGUCACAGGUUCGAAUCCUGUCGGGAUCACCA
Molecule: transfer RNA, 77 nt
Filed under: Devosia rhodophyticola
Lineage: Bacteria; Pseudomonadati; Pseudomonadota; Alphaproteobacteria; Hyphomicrobiales; Devosiaceae
Also listed under: 1 other name
Description: Devosia sp. G2-5 tRNA-Arg
Rfam family: tRNA
About the family: Transfer RNA (tRNA) molecules are approximately 80 nucleotides in length.
Source: RNAcentral